Molecule: non-coding RNA, 82 nt
Organism: Plenodomus lindquistii
Lineage: Eukaryota; Fungi; Ascomycota; Dothideomycetes; Pleosporales; Leptosphaeriaceae
Source: the annotation of a GenBank genome assembly
GGGGAUGUAGCUCAGUGGUAGAGCGCCCGCUUUGCAUGACAUGUCUUGCGGGAGGCCCAGAUUUCGACUAUCUGCUUCUCCA